GCUUGUUUAACAUUGAUGAACCUUACUUUUUUUAAUCCAAUAUGGGGAGGUUAAGCACCACAAUAGGGUUUAUAAAAUGAAAUUAAUUAUAAAACCUUAUAAUCUUUAGUGAAUAAAGCUGGUUAGGUCGGAUUUGUGGUUGAAAAAAGCACACGUAGUAGUCGUUACCAUUUGGUUGUUACGUGUUCAGUCUACUUCGUGUCCCCUAUUAAUUCAUUCAUAGAUUGACAGACUUUUCAGCAGUUUAAAUUUUGGUGUUGAUUAUAAUGAAUUCUAGAGGGUUGGAUGGAUUUCUUCUUCUUCUUCUUCUUCUACUCUUCAGCAAUGGAGCACCACAAGCGAUAAUCAAAACUCUUCCAGGUUAUUCGGGUAAUCUUCCGUUCAAACUCGAAACCGGGUUAGUUCCUUCAUUCUUUUUUAUUUUUCUUUAUUUUUUUUUUUCCAUAUUGGUUCAUAGUACUAAACUGCUAGCAAGAUUUUAACUUUGUUUUUCAUCUUCAAAAUGACUGAUAGAUACAUUGGUGUGGGAGAAAAUGAAGAAAUACAACUAUUCUACUAUUUCAUGGAGUCCGAAAGCAAUCCUAAUAUGGACCCUCUUUUGCUUUGGAUGGCUGGUGGACCUGGUUGCUCUGGUUUAUAUAGCAUCGUUUAUGAUAUUGGUAAUCUCUUUCAAUAAAUAUAUGUGAAUUUUUGGAAAAUCUUGAAAGAUUAGGGGAUGGGAAAAAAAAAACAGAUUGAAGCAUGAAUCCAAGAACUGAGACCAAAAACACAAAAAAUGAAGAUAACAAAAAAUCUGAAAAAUGGAGGCUUAAACAUUUUUUUAAUGUCCUAAAAGCGAUAUUGUGUUAAGAUUAAUCAGGCAUUUUACUGAGAUUGAGUAAAGCACAAUGAAAACCCUAGAAAGGAAUAAUGAUUUUUUUAUUUUUUUUAUUUUUUGAAUCAUUCUGAAUAUUUAGUGUUGAAAUUG
Molecule: long non-coding RNA, 967 nt
Filed under: Olea europaea subsp. europaea
Lineage: Eukaryota; Viridiplantae; Streptophyta; Magnoliopsida; Lamiales; Oleaceae
Source: RNAcentral